RNAcentral lists this ribosomal RNA (400 nucleotides) under uncultured Geobacter sp. RNAcentral describes it as "partial 16S ribosomal RNA". The record is from RNAcentral. Lineage: Bacteria; Pseudomonadati; Thermodesulfobacteriota; Desulfuromonadia; Geobacterales; Geobacteraceae.
GGGAACGUAUUCACCGCGGCGUGCUGAUCCGCGAUUACUAGCGAUUCCAGCUUCAUGGGGUCGAGUUGCAGACCCCAAUCCGAACUGAGACCGGCUUUAUCCGAUUUGCUCCAGCUUGCGCUCUCGCGACGGUUUGUACCGGCCAUUGUAGCACGUGUGUAGCCCUGGACAUAAAGGCCAUGAGGACUUGACGUCAUCCCCACCUUCCUCCGGUUUGUCACCGGCAGUCUCAUUAGAGUGCCCAACUGAAUGUAGCAACUAAUGACAAGGGUUGCGCUCGUUGCGGGACUUAACCCAACAUCUCACGACACGAGCUGACGACAGCCAUGCAGCACCUGUGUUCCGAUUCCCUUUCGGGCACAGCUGGAUUUCUCCAGCCUCUCGGACAUGUCAAGGGUAG